This 440-nucleotide ribosomal RNA is filed under the name uncultured bacterium. Its description in RNAcentral is "partial 16S ribosomal RNA". It matches the Rfam family "Bacterial small subunit ribosomal RNA", at positions 338 to 795 of the family's 1533-position model. The record is from RNAcentral.
CCUACGGGUGGCAGCAGUGGGGAAUAUUGCACAAUGGGGGAAACCCUGAUGCAGCGACGCCGCGUGAGUGAAGAAGUAUCUCGGUACGUAAAGCUCUAUCAGCAGGGAAGAAAAUGACGGUACCUGACUAAGAAGCCCCGGCUAACUACGUGCCAGCAGCCGCGGUAAUACGUAGGGGGCAAGCGUUAUCCGGAUUUACUGGGUGUAAAGGGAGCGUAGUCGGCAGCAGAAGUCUGGAGUGAAAUCCCGGGGCUUAACCCCGGAACUGCUUUGGAAACUGUGCUGCUGGAGUGCAGGAGGGGUAAGCGGAAUUCGUGGUGUAGCGGUGAAAUGCGUAGAUAUUAGGAGGAACACCGAUUGCGAAGGCAGCUUACUGGACUGUAACUGACGUUGAGGCUCGAAAGCGUGGGGAGCGAACAGGAUUAGAUACCCGAGUAGUC